GAGAGAACACGCGCUGAGCCCUUUUAUUGAGGAGAAGCUAUUCAAAUGAGGCAAGGGGUCAGGUUUCAGGGGGCUGAGUCUGUCUUCAUGAUGUCCACUGUCCGCAGGUUGACUGCCACCUGGGUAGGCCACACCCAAGAGCACAGUAAGAGGAGGAGACACACACAAGGCACUUCCAUGAAAGAUUCCGUCCUAAACAGGGCAAGGGGUUAUAUUACAAAGGAACAGGUGAGCAUGGCUUCACCCGUGGGGCUGUAGCAAGACACACCCAUGCACGAGACCGACCCUCGAACCCAAGAAGGGUGGGGAAAGCUUGCCACAUUUCUGCGACUGAGCGCCUCAGCACCCAGCCAGGGAGUGUGCCUCAGGCAGGUGCAACGUUGGUCUCCCACACCUACGGACAGUGUGGACAGUGAAUGAAAUGGACCUUGAGGAGGGGCACUGUAAAUGGGCACCUCCCUGGGCGAAGAGACCAACCUGGGUUUCAGAAGUGGCUGAGACCAGGAUAAUGAAAACCUGGGUCUCAGACACCGGUGGGUAUAGGACCGUGCAGGGGUGUGGGUGGACCAUGGGGAGUGGGACGACCCCCUAGUUCCUGGUUUGGACUGGGGAAGAGAGGGGAAGUCCCCAAGAGGGAGCACAGAAAGAGGCAGACUGGGGGUAAAAGUCACCCCGCGGCUGGUUUAAGGGCUCCCCAAGGACCCUGAGAUCUCCAGCAGAGUGGUCCCUGGGCAGGUGGGGAGCAGCCUGGAGCUCCAGAGAGAGGCUAGAGAGACACAAGCCUUGUGAGGGAGUGGCCAGGACCACCAGGGACUGUCCCCAGGGUGCAAAGAGUCCAGGAAUAGAACUCUGGGGAGCAGAGGGGAAGACGUCAGGGCAGGGAGGGGGACCCAGGCAGAAUAGAGUCCGGGAAGCCGCCUUCCCAGGGCACAUGCCCUCGGGCACCUCACGGAAAGUCACCUGGCAGGAAGGGACCAGCAGUGGCACCAGGGCCACCUGUGAGGCUCCUCCCACCUGAACACUUGCUCUUCCUCCUACUGCUGGCCUCUCCAGUGCCCCCCACAGUCCAGAGGCCUGGACACACCAGAAACCAGGACCCCAUGCAGAGAGAAGCAUCCGUGAAUGGGUAGCCUGUGCUUUGCAUCCUGCAAACAGAUGAGAAGCCAGCACUGGGGACCCUCUCUGGCAGGUCCUGGCUUCCCACAGCUUCAGGUAUGCCGUGUCCACUGUGGCAAGAGCCCUAAGCACGGCGAGCUGCAGGUCCCAAGGCCAUCUGCACAUGCCACCACCAGGACAGGAGACACAGGGACUCCAAACAGCCAGGAGGUGUUCAAUACCACCUCCCACUCUUUCUCCACCACCCAGGAAUGGGUGUGCGCACGCACAGCCAUAUGUGUGCUCAUGUGCGUGACAUGCAAGUGCACACACGUGCACACAGACACACACCACAGUUCAGGGUCUCCCUCCUGGACAGGGCGUCCCUCUCCCCCACACCUCCUCUGUGGCCUGGAAGAACCUUCUGUCCUCCCACCUCCCUGCUGAGCACACUCUGCACAUGGGGACUUCCCAGCCCUGUCCUGUCUGCCGUGGGCUGCUCUCCUGCCAUCUG
RNAcentral lists this long non-coding RNA (1609 nucleotides) under Marmota monax (woodchuck). Lineage: Eukaryota; Metazoa; Chordata; Mammalia; Rodentia; Sciuridae. The record is from RNAcentral.